Molecule: non-coding RNA, 68 nt
Filed under: unclassified sequences
Description: DUF3800-IX RNA
Rfam family: DUF3800-IX RNA
About the family: Actinobacteria, Firmicutes (1 example), Nitrospirae, Proteobacteria, Verrucomicrobia (1 example). Nearby to DUF3800
Source: Rfam by way of RNAcentral
GCGCCCCCGACGACAAGGUAGCCACUUGAGGCUGUCUUCCUCAUUUGAGGAUAGUCGGGGGUGUUUUA